AUGUUUCACUGACAGCAGAAGCCAGCUCCUUUGUCUUUGUAAUAUGGACUGGAGAGUGGUGACUCCCCAGGUGUCCUGCAUGUGUGUGGUGCCAAUUUGGGACUGCUGAGUUGUCCAGCUUUGUGGGCUGGGCGGCUUCCAGUCUAUCUGUCUCAGCAGGUUUCCACUUGGCUGGCAGACAUAUCCAAGUGUCAAUUGCUGCAAUCUACUCCAAAGGACCACGAGCUGUAGACUUGCUGAAGGCUGAUAAGAUGUGGACCAGUCCAAGCAAACAUAAUUGUUCCCUGUCUCUACUAUCAGAUCAGAUGACCAUAUACUUCUGAUAAAUACCCAUUGCCUGGGUUGUUCCCUCCUUACCUUUGACUGGCCUUUUGGCCUCCUUGGGCUAUGACCAUCUGCUCCCCGUUUCAGCUUGAAGCACUUAUGGAAGAGAAUAUGUCAUCCUGUGUUCCCUGCCCACCCCACAACAGGCUAAAGGGCUAAGUAAAAGAGAAGAUCCCUGGCACAGGGAACAACAUGUCUACCUAUAAUGCCCAUUGAUAUCCAAAUACUGUGCUUGGAGUUGUCACUUAAGAGAUGUAUUAACUAAAUGGUUCUGUAAUAGGAUAAGACACUUGACCUUCUUUAUGAAGAACCAAAGAGAAAAUGGCUGGACACAGAAGAACCUCCAACCAGAACUUGCUCCAGAAUAGCAGCACCAGCCACUGAGGUAGGCACAGAAGAACCUCUACUGCUACCAGGGCCUUCUUCAGACCAUGGACAACAGGACUCUGGGAACCCAUUGCCUCACUUUUGCCUAGACAAGAUAGACUGGUCCUUCCCACGAGUUCCUACCCCACAACUGUUGAAUCUUCUGAGGCCUAGCAUGCCUAGACCUGGCAGCCAAAGACUAAUGUUGUUGCCCCGAGACCUCUGCCCUCAAUGACCAUGGAGGACCCUGGGGUGGCUGUCUAGGUAGUCAGCAGGUCAGUCUCUGUCACUUUCAAUUGCUAACUCAGGUAAAAUUUAUCCUUCUCAGGUCUGUGAUGCCAUUUCACCACCAGGCUUUGCUUCAGCUGCCUUCUCAGUUCUCUAUGUGAAAUUCACAGCCUCAUCCUCUUAGGGCUAAUACUGCUCUCAGGGUCUUCUGAUGAAUUGGAUAAAAAAGAAACACCUCCAAGGUUUAUUUAUAUGAAGAUAGGAAAUCUAUCUUCUGUUCACUCUGAUGAUGUUUAGGGAAGCAUCCCUUCUCCUUCAACCACUUCCAUUCAGUAAAUUUCCUCUGGUUAUAGAUUUAAAGAUAUGUUUCAUUGGGCUGAAUCCAGAAAAUGUGCAUGCAUGCCUUUUAACACAACACCAUAGCCUUUUGCUACGACACCAAGAUAUAAAUCUGUUCCAGCUGUCUUACAUAUACCUUCAGGUUCCUGGGAAAAGUUCUGCUACUGUAUCAAGAAAUCUGAUCUGAUGAAAACUAACAGUCUCCAGAACCCAUUUUGAUCCCACCAAUUUUUGAGCAUAUUUUUCAGUUUCACUCCUUCUGCCUGAGCCAAGGCCAACCCACAGGGGGUCCUCCAGAUGUGCCAGCCAGUGCACCAGCUCUGAGGAUGCCAACCACCAACCAAGGAUGCCAACUGGGAUGGAUGUACUUCCACACCAGCAAAAAAGCAGAUGUGAUGGCUCAUGCACUCCUAAAGAACAUGUCAUCCCUUUAUUUUACUGCUGCAACCUGCCUUCUCAGCUCCCUCAAGGAACAGAUGCCUGAGAUCUCCAUGCCUGAGAUCUCCACAAUGACAGCCAACUGAAUGUUUCUUCACUCACACUUCCCAACAUGUGUGACCCUGACUUCUACCUUCCCCGAUACUUCUCCCCAAAAUCAGCAGGAAGCAGUCUCAAAAAUUUAACACCCUUAUUCCGCUGCUUGCUAUCCAUAACUCACCUUUUUAUAAUAAUCAAAAUGGAGGAAUGUUGGCAUUCUGGUCUACCCCUUGGGGAUCCAUGUGUUGAUAUUUUAUUUAUGUUUUAAUAAAUAAAGCUUACCUGGAGAUC
Non-coding RNA from Peromyscus maniculatus bairdii (prairie deer mouse), 2025 nucleotides. The record is from RefSeq and is a predicted model, not a curated record. Lineage: Eukaryota; Metazoa; Chordata; Mammalia; Rodentia; Cricetidae.